AAGAUUGACCGAGAGGUCUUAUCUCUAUAUCCCUCACCUCUGUGAACUGUGGACCUCCGGGUCUGUCUUUACAAACAUCAGUGUAAUGAACGUAUAUAUCAUUAAACAAAACA
This 113-nucleotide unclassified non-coding RNA is filed under the name uncultured Cryptococcus. Its description in RNAcentral is "sequence contains ITS1". The record is from RNAcentral. Lineage: Eukaryota; Fungi; Basidiomycota; Tremellomycetes.